Molecule: ribosomal RNA, 996 nt
Filed under: Yonghaparkia sp. R2b
Lineage: Bacteria; Bacillati; Actinomycetota; Actinomycetes; Micrococcales; Microbacteriaceae
Description: bacterial SSU rRNA
Rfam family: Bacterial small subunit ribosomal RNA
Source: RNAcentral
ACAAUGGGCGCAAGCCUGAUGCAGCAACGCCGCGUGAGGGACGACGGCCUUCGGGUUGUAAACCUCUUUUAGCAGGGAAGAAGCGAAAGUGACGGUACCUGCAGAAAAAGCACCGGCUAACUACGUGCCAGCAGCCGCGGUAAUACGUAGGGUGCAAGCGUUGUCCGGAAUUAUUGGGCGUAAAGAGCUCGUAGGCGGUUUGUCGCGUCUGCUGUGAAAACGCGAGGCUCAACCUCGCGCCUGCAGUGGGUACGGGCAGACUAGAGUGCGGUAGGGGAGAUUGGAAUUCCUGGUGUAGCGGUGGAAUGCGCAGAUAUCAGGAGGAACACCGAUGGCGAAGGCAGAUCUCUGGGCCGUAACUGACGCUGAGGAGCGAAAGCGUGGGGAGCGAACAGGAUUAGAUACCCUGGUAGUCCACGCCGUAAACGUUGGGAACUAGAUGUAGGGACCAUUCCACGGUUUCUGUGUCGCAGCUAACGCAUUAAGUUCCCCGCCUGGGGAGUACGGUCGCAAGACUAAAACUCAAAGGAAUUGACGGGGGCCCGCACAAGCGGCGGAGCAUGCGGAUUAAUUCGAUGCAACGCGAAGAACCUUACCAAGGCUUGACAUAUAGAGGAAACGUGCAGAAAUGUACGCCCCGCAAGGUCUCUAUACAGGUGGUGCAUGGUUGUCGUCAGCUCGUGUCGUGAGAUGUUGGGUUAAGUCCCGCAACGAGCGCAACCCUCGUCCUAUGUUGCCAGCACGUCAUGGUGGGAACUCAUGGGAGACUGCCGGGGUCAACUCGGAGGAAGGUGGGGAUGACGUCAAAUCAUCAUGCCCCUUAUGUCUUGGGCUUCACGCAUGCUACAAUGGCCGGUACAAAGGGCUGCGAUACCGCAAGGUGGAGCGAAUCCCAAAAAGCCGGUCUCAGUUCGGAUUGAGGUCUGCAACUGACCUCAUGAACGCGGUGGCAGCGUGCAUCACAGCACGCUCUCAAGAAAAAACGAUAUAGCUAUG